CGACCAGUGUCGCUAGUCAGACAUUUCCAGGCUGUCAGUGAGAUGUGUGUGUUGUGUGAGGACGGUAGCGGGGUCCAGUCACAGGGAAGAAGGCAGAUAGCAAAGGUAGCGUACAACAUCAUAUAUAAGUUGAUGUUUGAUGUCAUUUCAGGUGAAUUUGUUAGGAAAAAGUGACACGGGGACAUAUAUAUAUAUAUAUAUAUAUAUAUAUAUAUAUGAAGAGUAAAGAACGAAACAUGUUGGAGAAAAA
Haliotis rubra (blacklip abalone) is the source of this 250-nucleotide long non-coding RNA. RefSeq lists it as uncharacterized. The transcript is spliced from 2 exons. The record is from RefSeq and is a predicted model, not a curated record. NCBI's taxonomy places the organism in Eukaryota, Metazoa, Mollusca, Gastropoda, Lepetellida, Haliotidae.